AUUGAACGCUGGCGGCAGGCCUAACACAUGCAAGUCGAACGAGUGGCGGACGGGUGAGUAAUGUCUGGGAAACUGCCUGAUGGAGGGGGAUAACUACUGGAAACGGUAGCUAAUACCGCAUACCAUCGGAUGUGCCCAGAUGGGAUUAGCUAGUAGGUGGGGUAAAGGUUCACCUAGGCGACGAUCCGUAUCUGGUCUGAGAGGAUGAACGGCCACACUGGAACUGAGACACGGUCCAGACUCCUACGGUAGGCAGCAGUGGGGUAUAUUGUACAAUGGGCGAAAGCCUGAUGCAGCCAUGCCGCGUGUAUGAAGAAGGCCUUCGGGUUGUAAAGUACUUUCAGCUGGGAGGCGUUACCCGCAGAAUAAGCACCGGCUAACUCCGUGCCAGCAGCCGCGGUAAUUC
Molecule: ribosomal RNA, 406 nt
Filed under: uncultured bacterium
Lineage: Bacteria
Description: partial 16S ribosomal RNA
Rfam family: Bacterial small subunit ribosomal RNA
Source: RNAcentral